This 567-nucleotide ribosomal RNA is filed under the name uncultured bacterium. RNAcentral describes it as "partial 16S ribosomal RNA". It matches the Rfam family "Bacterial small subunit ribosomal RNA", at positions 355 to 941 of the family's 1533-position model. The record is from RNAcentral.
UGGGGAAUCUUGCGCAAUGGGCGAAAGCCUGACGCAGCCAUGCCGCGUGAAUGAUGAAGGUCUUAGGAUUGUAAAAUUCUUUCACCGGGGACGAUAAUGACGGUACCCGGAGAAGAAGCCCCGGCUAACUUCGUGCCAGCAGCCGCGGUAAUACGAAGGGGGCUAGCGUUGCUCGGAAUUACUGGGCGUAAAGGGAGCGUAGGCGGACAUUUAAGUCAGGGGUGAAAUCCCGGGGCUCAACCUCGGAAUUGCCUUUGAUACUGGGUGUCUUGAGUGUGAGAGAGGUAUGUGGAACUCCGAGUGUAGAGGUGAAAUUCGUAGAUAUUCGGAAGAACACCAGUGGCGAAGGCGACAUACUGGCCUCAUUACUGACGCUGAGGCUCGAAAGCGUGGGGAGCAAACAGGAUUAGAUACCCCUGGGUAGUCCACGCCGUAAAACGAUGAUUGCUAGUUGUCGGGAUGCAUGCAUUUCGGUGACGCAGCUAACGCAUUAAGCAAUCCGCCUGGGGAGUACGGCCGCAAGAUUAAAACCUCAAAGGAAUUGACGGGGGUCAUAGCUGUUUCCUG